This 254-nucleotide ribosomal RNA is filed under the name uncultured bacterium. RNAcentral describes it as "partial 16S ribosomal RNA". It matches the Rfam family "Bacterial small subunit ribosomal RNA", at positions 524 to 776 of the family's 1533-position model. The record is from RNAcentral.
GACGUAGGGCGCAAGCGUUGUUCGGAUUUACUGGGCGUAAAGGGCGCGUAGGCGGUCGUGACAAGUCACUUGUGAAAUCUCCGGGCUUAACUCGGAACGGUCAAGUGAUACUGUCGGACUAGAGUACAGAAGGGGCAACUGGAAUUCUCGGUGUAGCGGUGAAAUGCGUAGAUAUCGAGAGGAACACCUGCGGCGAAGGCGGGUUGCUGGGCUGAUACUGACGCUGAGGCGCGAAAGCCAGGGGAGCGAACGGG